Cucurbita pepo subsp. pepo (vegetable marrow) is the source of this 317-nucleotide non-coding RNA. The record is from RefSeq and is a predicted model, not a curated record. NCBI's taxonomy places the organism in Eukaryota, Viridiplantae, Streptophyta, Magnoliopsida, Cucurbitales, Cucurbitaceae.
AGAAAAUGGAAAUGGUGAUACUCAAUAAUGCGCCAACCUGGAAGAUAAUCUGAAAGACAUAGCCCCAAAAUCCUGCACGUUGUCGUAUGAGCCAUAAACGGAGAGCAGUGAUCCAAGCUAUGAACAGAAAAGUGGAGAUUAUAAGCAAAUAAAGAAGGAAGAAGGAAACCGAGAGGAACAUAUAUGGAAAAAGGGCUCUUUGAAAAUGAUGGACAUACCCCAAAAUAAAUGGUGAUUGACAUAAAAGUCCACCUGUUUCACACAGCACAGCCAUAUUAAAGGAACAGAGUUUUGCACUUUGAAUCUCUUUGAGCUUU